Molecule: ribosomal RNA, 253 nt
Filed under: uncultured bacterium
Lineage: Bacteria
Description: partial 16S ribosomal RNA
Rfam family: Bacterial small subunit ribosomal RNA
Source: RNAcentral
UACGGAGGGUGCAAGCGUUGUUCGGAAUUAUUGGGCGUAAAGCGCGUGUAGGCGGCAUUGCAAGUCGGGCGUGAAAUCCCACGGCUCAACCGUGGAAGUGCACCCGAAACUACGUAGCUAGAGUCCUGGAGAGGAAGGUGGAAUGCUUGGUGUAGAGGUGAAAUUCGUAGAUAUCAAGCGGAACACCGGUGGCGAAGGCGGCCUUCUGGACAGUGACUGACGCUGAGACGCGAAAGCGUGGGGAGCAAACGGG